UACGUAGGGCGCAAGCGUUGUCCGGAAUCAUUGGGCGUAAAGCGCACGUAGGCGGUUCGUUAUGUCGGAUGUGAAAGCCCUUGGCUUAACCGAGGAAGUGCAUCCGAAACUGGCGAGCUAGAGUACUAAAGAGGAUCGCGGAAUUCCCGGUGUAGAGGUGAAAUUCGUAGAUAUCGGGAGGAACACCGGUGGCGAAGGCGGCGAUCUGGGUAGAUACUGACGCUGAGGUGCGAAAGCGUGGGGAGCAAACAGG
RNAcentral lists this ribosomal RNA (253 nucleotides) under uncultured bacterium. RNAcentral describes it as "partial 16S ribosomal RNA". It matches the Rfam family "Bacterial small subunit ribosomal RNA", at positions 524 to 776 of the family's 1533-position model. The record is from RNAcentral.